Long non-coding RNA from Salvelinus namaycush (lake trout), 839 nucleotides. RefSeq lists it as uncharacterized. The record is from RefSeq and is a predicted model, not a curated record. NCBI's taxonomy places the organism in Eukaryota, Metazoa, Chordata, Actinopteri, Salmoniformes, Salmonidae. The transcript has 5 exons.
AAGAGUAUGAAAGCCACAGUACUCUGUUGAAGCUGAAAAUGCAGGGUGAUGCAUUUGCACGCCACCGACGAAGACAGGAAGAGAAUCUGGAACCAGAUAAAAUACGCUCAACAGAUCCAUAAUAGACAUAAGGUUUGCCCAGCUAGACGCCAAUACGGAGCUAGUAGCAGAAAUGGACACCAAAGAUGUGAAAACACUUCCCGUGUGUACAUUCAUAUCCUGGUUGUGCAGUUGGACUAACAGCAGACAUGUCCAUGUCUUGUUACCUGAAGGUAUGAAAUGCAGAUUGACUGAACUUAAUUACUUUACCUUCUUCCUCGGUGCGUGGGAGCUGAUACUGAGAAAGGGGACCAUUACAUCCUUUAGGUCUUUGAUGGUGCGUCCAAGCAGAUCAGAGUGUACAACUCAAAAGGCUCCCGCCAAGGCAUCAGGUCAGAGGGUCUGGACUUGCUGAGCAAUGCCUUCUGGGAACGUAUGGGAUCUGAGUGAAUCAUAAAGGCGCCGGAGGGGAUGGCUGCCGUUUUACGGGCUGCUAACCAACUGUGUGCUAUUUUUUAUUUUUUUGCAUCGUUUGAAACUUAUUUCAUACAUAUUGUUGCUGCUACCGUCUCUUAUGACCGAAAAGAGCUUCUGGAUAUCAGAACAGCGAUUACUCACCUCAAACUGGACAAAGAUAUUUUCUUUAAUGAGUCUGACGCAAAGGACAUACUGCUUCUCCGAGACCAGGCCCAAUAUCCCUGUCAUUCACGUGAAGAAAAGACGGAAAUGCAGGGGGCGGAGAUCGGGUGCCUUGUGAGAAUUCGUUGGCGAGUGGGUAACCCGCCUCUACGAUCUCCAUC